CAAGACACAAGGCAGCAAAGUUCUUCGUGUUACUCAUGCAUGAGGGAGACCUGCCUGGAGCCAAGUGUCGUUCCACCCACUUGACCUCCGCCAGACUCUCAGCC
Molecule: long non-coding RNA, 104 nt
Organism: Pundamilia nyererei
Lineage: Eukaryota; Metazoa; Chordata; Actinopteri; Cichliformes; Cichlidae
Exons: 3
Source: RefSeq, a predicted model, not a curated record